GACGAACGCUGGCGGCGUGCUUAACACAUGCAAGUCGAACGGAAAGGCCCUGCUUUUGUGGGGUGCUCGAGUGGCGAACGGGUGAGUAACACGUGAGUAACCUGCCCUUGACUUUGGGAUAACUUCAGGAAACUGGGGCUAAUACAGGAUAGGAGCUCCUGCUGCAUGGUGGGGGUUGGAAAGUUUCGGCGGUUGGGGAUGGACUCGCGGCUUAUCAGCUUGUUGGUGGGGUAGUGGCUUACCAAGGCUUUGACGGGUAGCCGGCCUGGGAGCGUGGCCGGCCACAUUGGGACUGAGAUACGCCGCAGACUCCUACGGGAGGCAGCAGUGGGGAGUCUUGCACAAUGGGCCGAAGCCUGAUGCAGCAACGCCGCGUGCGGGAUGACGGCCUUCGGGUUGUAAACCGCUUUCGCCUGUGACGAAGCGUGAGUGACGGUACUGGGUAAAGAAGCACCGGCUAACUACGUG
Molecule: ribosomal RNA, 468 nt
Filed under: uncultured bacterium
Lineage: Bacteria
Description: partial 16S ribosomal RNA
Rfam family: Bacterial small subunit ribosomal RNA
Source: RNAcentral